UGUUGAAGGUGGGAACCAAUGGGAGAUAUUUGGAUCAUGGGAGCAGAUCCCUCAUGAAUAGAUUAAUACAUUCCUUCCAGGAAACAAAGCUCCAAAUUUGGAAGCAGCAGUGAAACUCCACAGAUUACUGAGGGCAAAAUUGCUGGGUCAUAUGGCACCAAGGAAAGGUCUUGUGCUGACACAGGGAGAAAGCUGUCAUUUACAAGCUGGGAGGAGACCUUCACCAGAAACUGAAUUUGCUACCACCUGGAUCAUGAACUUUUACUCUCCAAAACGGAAGGAGGUGAUGAAGAGAGAAAGAAAGGAUGGAAGGAAGGAGGAAGUGGACAAUGAGCCCAGAGCCCUCACCUGAGUUCCAAACAUUUAAGUCAAACUGCCAACUUCAUUCUCCAUUUGGACGAUUUCUCAACAUGUACAAAACCAAGUCCUGAUUUUUCCGUGACCCCAAAUCUGUUCUAUCUGAAGCCUCCCUAUCUCAGUUACUGAGACAGAGUCUGUCUGUCUUUGUCACUCGCACUUCACGCUGGAGUGCAGUGGUGUGAUCAUAGCUCACUGCAACAUCAAACUCCUAGAUUCAAGCGACCUGAUCCUUCCACCUCAGCCUCCGGAGUAGCUGAGACUACAAAUCCUGGCUGAUGGAUGUAAUGAAGGCAUGAACUAUACUAGUUGAACAAGGAAAUGAACUUGAACCAAAUUGUGAAGUUCUCUGCAGUGAAAUAUUAAAG
This 725-nucleotide long non-coding RNA is filed under the name Homo sapiens (human). RNAcentral describes it as "HSALNT0028598". The record is from RNAcentral. Lineage: Eukaryota; Metazoa; Chordata; Mammalia; Primates; Hominidae.